GAUUAACGCUGGCGGCGUGCAUAACACAUGCAAGUCGAACGAUGAAACUUAAAUGAUUUCUUCGGAAUGAACUUAAGUGGCUUAGUGGCGGACGGUUGAGUAACGCGUGAGUAACCUGCCUUACACACGGGGAUAGCCGUUGGAAACGACGAAUAAUACCCUAUGAAACUAUCCCUUCGCAUUAAGCGAUAGUCAAAGUGUUAGCGGUGUAAGAUGGACUUGCGUCUGAUUAGCUUGUAGGUGAGACAAAAGCCCACCAAGGCAACGAUCAGUAGCCGGCAUGAGAGCGUGGACGGCCACAUUAGGACUGGGACACGGCGCAGACUUCUACGGGAGGGAGCAGGGGGGAAUUAUGCACAAUGGGGGAAAGCCGGAUGCAGCGGCGCCGCGUGAUUUAGAAGGUCUUCGGGUAGUAAAAAUCUUUUGUAUAGGAAGAAAAUGACGGUACUAUAAGAAUAAGGACCGGCUAAUUACGUG
This 477-nucleotide ribosomal RNA is filed under the name uncultured bacterium. RNAcentral describes it as "partial 16S ribosomal RNA". It matches the Rfam family "Bacterial small subunit ribosomal RNA", at positions 28 to 507 of the family's 1533-position model. The record is from RNAcentral.